GGGACACACCUGCAGCCCAGCGGACAGCCCACCAGCCUCCAAACAGUUCUGCGAAAAAUUAGGCUAUCUUUCAUUAGCUAUCUAUCAUGCGGCCUCCACCAGGCUGCAGGAUAUGAGGGCCAUUUAAUUAGGCCCUGCACCACUCUCGGGUGUGAAAAGGCUCUCAAACGCUUUGAUUCCCCGCUGCUUCGCAGCAGGAAGUUGUUGGCGAUAAUUGACAUAGGAUUUCCUUGUUAACCAGCAGCAGACACGCCGGAUUAAAGCGACAGAGAUCUCGAGAAGAAAGUGAAAGAGAUAAGAAGCUCGGAAGACUUCUGCUUAUUUGGCACUUGAGGAUGGCAGGAAACAGCAAUAACCUACUCAAGUGGCGACUCUAGAGUGGAAGGGCGUCCCCUUAUCAGACCUAUUUCAGCUUGGCUGAUCAAAGAUUGACUCCCCGCAAAAUCACAUAGGCCUGGGGUUUGUUAGUUUAUUAAGCAGCAGGUUUUAGGAAUUAUCACAGGUUUAAAGAUGGAUUGCAGUUUAUGUGAAGGGGGAGAGGAUUAUCGGGUUUUCAUCUUAACAAUUAUAAAAUAUCACAGCUGAAAGCUUGCUUGCAAAUGACAUAAUUUUCCACUGCCAACUAAACAGGUCAUUGUGAGGCUGCCUGUGAGCGCACUCAACGAGGGAGGAAAUACAGGCAAAUUAACUCUGGGGAGGACCGGGGAUGAGGGGCCUCCACGCCUUGUUCCACUUCGGAAGACGGUGCGAUCUCAUUUUGCCCUGUGCGAUUCCUUAGAAGAUACUCAGCUAGAAGAUUCCUCUGUGAGGCUGCUAGUACUUCUCCAGCAGACCAAGCCAGGAGAGCUUUCUCAAAGAUUCUACCAGAUUUUCCAGGGGUUCUCAAAGAUUGUCUGCAAACCAGCUCUGAUAAAUGAUUGCAGCUUCUUGAGUCUAUAGAGAGAGACCUUUAUGCUCUCUCUACUAGGAAGUAAUGCUUUUUUCCCUGAGAUUAUGUUCUUUUUAAAAUUUUUAUGUGCUUUUAAAAUCUCAUGUGUGUAUUAACAUGUCCUUUCUUUAUAGAAUGUUGAAGACAAUAUAUAAAUUUCUGAAAAGAUUUGAAUGAUUUGAUUUGGCAAAAUAAAGAAUUGCCAAUCCUACAUAGAGCUCCAUACACCAAUUUUUAAAAAUAAUUUUAUUGCUUCACAAAAUCUGGGAACCACUGGAUAUAUGAAGUAUCUCUUUUAGCUAAAGCAAAGUCAACUCUCACCCUCGAAAAAAGUUCAUUUUUUGAUCUGUUUUUAUUUUUCUGUGGCAAAAAGUGCUUUUGUGAUGCCUCUAUGAAUAAAAGACUCAUUUUCCUAAGUGA
This 1348-nucleotide long non-coding RNA is filed under the name Homo sapiens (human). RNAcentral's name for it is "novel transcript". Lineage: Eukaryota; Metazoa; Chordata; Mammalia; Primates; Hominidae. The record is from RNAcentral.